Long non-coding RNA from Panthera uncia (snow leopard), 4695 nucleotides. RefSeq lists it as uncharacterized. The record is from RefSeq and is a predicted model, not a curated record. The transcript is spliced from 5 exons. Lineage: Eukaryota; Metazoa; Chordata; Mammalia; Carnivora; Felidae.
AAUAGACUGAGGUUCGCUGCAGCACUGUGAGAAGAUUGGAGAUUUGAGUUUAGGGUGCUGUGUGUAGAGAAUUUACACGUGGAAAACACGCAGCCGGGCCGCCACGUGUCCUGAGUGGUAGUGGUGGCGGCAGGCUUCGAGCUUAGGCGUGUGGAGGCUGGUGCUGAUGGCCACGAGCGGUGUGCGCGGCCUGCUUGCUAAACGCCGACAUCUGGCUGGCCAAGCCUGAGCGGCGGCGGGAAAACCAUAUUCCCGGUAUUUGGGGCAGGGAGUUUUACGUUGAGCAAGAGGCCUUUUAUAAGGAGAGUGUCGUUUUCUCGUCGCGGAUCAAAAAGGUCAUUUGAAAAUGGGCAGCCCUGACGUUGCCUGAGAUUGAGUUGUAUUGUGCCCAGGUGGCGCUGUGUGCAAACCAGAUUAAUGAUUGGGAAGAUUUUAGUACUGAAAACCUUCAACUGUCAUUCUGUAAGAAUGCUUAAUUUUAAAUAUUUUGGUCCCCUUCAGGAACAAUGGCUCUCAGUGGCAUAACGGAGCUGUUACCUGGAGAUGUUCAGAUACAAAGGAAAACUAGAAAAUACGUGAGGGAAUAUUUGCUGGGAAAUUACUUGGUUGGAACCUGACCAUUUUACCCAGCAUCCUGGGAGUUGAUGAAUACUAACAGACCUACAAAUGUCACUGGCUAGCAACGUAAUUUUUAAAUGAGGGGUCGCUGUCUUUCCAUUGAAAGGGGCCAGUUUGCUGUGACCUUCCUAAGAUGUAACCCAUUUCUGGUUAAUACCACCAGAUUUACUUGUGAAAAAUCGAUAAGGAAAAGCUCUUCAUUUAACUGACAUGGGAAGAAAACCUACAAAUCAAGACAAUAUUUUUUUAUUUCUGUAAACAGGUUAUGAAACCGCAUCAGAUUCAGAUUAAUGUAUUUGUAAGAUUUAAGCCAUUACUUUUUAUGUCAUACUGCCCUAGAGAAUCCUAACCUGUUAAGCAGAUUACUUUGUAGAUCUGUUUCUAUUUUAAAUACAGGAAUGCAAAGGAAGGUACAUGUUUUUAAUGGAGAAGUCUUUGAUUUCAGUUAACCAGACUUGUAAUCAGCUUAUUGUGAAUGUUUCACCUUUGGCCACCUGUUUGAAUUUAAAAUCUACGAUUGUAAUUAAAGCUGAGUGAAAAUUUACACUGAAUAUUGUGGAAAAGUCCUUAGAUUUUUAUGGAGAGAUGACUCAUUUUGGCAGUAUCACACGGUACAGAUCAUGUUGGGUUUUGUAGCGUACUGAAUAUUACUGGAUUAGUGGUGAGCAAAACGGAAAGACUGAGUCUGUUACUGGGGGAGGGGAAAAUAACAGGUAUUACUGGUUCUAAUUACUGAUUUCUGGAAUGUUUGGUCCUAAUGAAUUAUAGUUUGAAAGGAUGCUUAAGAUGGAAAAUGUGAGGGACACCUUGGUGGCUCAGUAAAACAUCUCAGCUCCUCCAUGCUGGGUAAGAAACCUACUUUAAAAAAAAAAGAUGGAAAAAUGUGGAAUGCUGAAAAUGAAGAGAGCACAGCAUGACAACGGGUCAUGGGGGAAGUUCACUGAUAAAACCAAACAUUGCAUAGAAUGGAUUUAGUGUAGACAGUAAUAGCAUCUGAUCUAACCAAGAUGGUUUGGCCCCAUGCAUGAUCAUUUUCCCUAAAUAGCUACAUGAAUAAAUUGUUGCUAAGCCUAUACUUCAGUGUUAGUCAAAAGAAUAUUCUUGUCAGCUUAUGAUUAUGAACUACCUUUUUUCCUAAAAUGUUUUCUUAGUGCAAAUACAACGUUGGACCCAUGUAGUUUAAGAGGCUCAGUGACAACCAUGCCAUUUAGUGAGUAGGUACAAAGGGAAAAGCCACUUGGUAUAACAGAUUACAUGUGUAAUGGGAUUUUGAUAUAUUAACAAAAGAAAAGUGAUUGGGGUCUGUACAACCUUUUCAAGAAACUGUCUAGCCUUUUGUCAAAGCUGGCACCUCACUUCAAAACAAGUUGUGAAAUAGAUAAAAUUUGCUUUGGAGCACUCUGACCUCUUCCUGCAAUUUCUGUUGUUGCUUCUUCCCUCUCAAUUGAUCUGGUAAUAUGUCGCAUAUCUUUAGUUUAUUAUAAUGUGCAUUUUAUGGAUUGCAGUGUUACUGGGCUCUGCUAAGGAGGUUAGAAGUAAAACACUUCCUAUGUCCUCAUUUUGUUAAUAGCGACAUGAAAUGCCAAGAAAACCAAAGGCAGGCUAUAAAGUGAGAAAAAAUGUCUUGAGAUUGAACAAGUGGAUUUGAGUCAAAACCAUCUCAGAUGAGAUGUGAGAAAGAUAACAUUUUUGGCAUAAACACUUGGAGCAAAGAUUAUAUGCUCCAGGACCUCAGAAUGAUGAAUUUGAAAUUUAGGUAUCAAUUGUGUGGUUAGAUGUAGGACAAAUAAGGUAGAAGAUAGACUGAAAUGUUUUGGGGUGACAACAGUAAAAACCUAUGGUUAUUUGAAUUCCCUAAAACAUUUUUUUCAGGGGGAAGGCACAUAGCAGAAAAUCACAUUUAGUCCCUUUGACUCUAUACAGAGUGUACACUUGAACAAGUAAGUCAGAUCCAAAAAGGUACGCUUUAGUGAAAUUAAGCUUGAAAGCUCAACAUGUUAUAAUUAGCUGCCAUUAAAAUUACUAAUUGUUUCAAACCUGUAAUAUACCUAAAUGGUAUUUUUCAUUCAUACAACAUGGUGUUGACUGUCAUUCUACUAGCCUUCUGUUUUAUGAAUGUUAACAUACCAGGUAUUCCUUUCAAGUCCCUGACUAAGGGACUUAACCCUCUGAGCAUAUGUGCAAUUUAAUAGAGAACUUAAUGGAGACAAAGCUUUCAAGACCUGAGGAAUAAAAGACGACGGCUAUAAUAGACUGGGAUCUGCUUGGUUAGGACUGAUACCAGAAGUUGAAAGCAAAACCUACAUGUGUCUGGCUUUAGUGGCUUUAACCAAUAGGAAUGCUUUAUGCCUUCCAUCACGCUUCCAGGUUAUCUUCAAAUAUAGUAGGCUCAAGCCUACCAUUUGGUGCUUUCUAAAAUUCUGUUGCCAGAAAUCUAGUAUCAACUGCACUUCCCAAUCAAGUGCUCUCUGAAUUGAUAAUACACUUCAUAAAUCCUUAACUGUUUACCCACCCUGUGAGGAAUCUUGGUUGUGCUCAGGUUUUUAACACCCAAUUUCCCAGUUAGAAUAUUUAUUUGAAUUCCAGCCUUCUAGGAUAGUCUGCUUAUCUUUUGCUGGUCCUUCCUUCCUUUAGGUGGGACUCUCUUUUUCAUCUUUCCUCCCAAAAGCUUGGUUCUGGAUCCAAGUAGCACUCACAGCAUAGUAUAGUAAUUAUAAUUGCCUGGCUGAAUAUUGCCACUGCCUCUGGCCUUGCUGCACCUCACUGAUUCUACUUAUUUGCAUAUGUAUGAAGAUCAGAUCAAAGCACAAGUUUGCCAUGAGGUGCUGGAAGGUUUAUGGACCAUCUUGGGGUGGAGGAGAGGGUAUCUUUUCAAAAUGACAAUCGAACUCCUUGGUCUCAUUCUUACAAGACCUGGCCUCUUCCCCUUAUUACUAGUCCACUGCUAGAGUCCUGUCAUGCCAUGUGGCUGAGUUACAACAAAAUGAGUUAAUGUCACAGAACCCCUGAGUACACUAUAAUCGAACCUUUUUGGGAACUUAAUUAUGCUCAUUCAGUUGAUUCUAAUUCUUUUCAAAAUAGUAUUAAUAAUGUAAAAAGCAUUUAAGAAUACUCAGAAAUUAGCAUUUGAGGAAAAUAACAUUUACACAUAUAAUGCGUUACUUAGGUCAGUAAACUUGACAUAUCCUUGCCUCCUAACUAUAUAAAGUAUAAUUGUACAUUUUUAAAUGUACAGUUUGAUGAGUUUUUCCUUUGAUACACACCCAUGAAAACAUAAGUUUUAGAGAAGUACAGAGUUAAGAGAUCUGAGCUGGAGAAAUAAAAUUGGGAAUCAUCCACAUGUGGAUGGUGUAUUUAAAGCCAUAAGAUUACAUGAGAUCACCAAAGGAGUGAAUAUAGAUAAAAGGAGUGGUCCAAGAGUUGAGUCCUGGAACAUUCUAAGAGUAGGGGAUUCUGGGUUUAGUUAAAAUCCUGGAGAUUAUUUUGUGCCUGGGACAAAAAUUGAGAAGCAGAAAUCUAUUGUCAAGUCCAACUGCUAUAUCAAGAAAAGGAACUAGAUGGAAAAUCAAGGAGUUUUGGAAUAAAAGCAAGAGUGAAAACUAAGCAAAUAAUUGGGCUAUAGGGCUGGAGAUAGCCUUGAUUUAAUGCAGAGCCUUAGCAUAGAAAUUGAAGGAGUUAAUAUCUGAGAAAGACUUUGUGAAUUAUCGGGCAAAGUAGUCUUCAGGAAAGAAUAAGAUAAGGAAUUUAGGAAGUAUGAUAAGGGUUUUCAUCAGACACUGCAGACUUAGAAAAGUGGAGUUAGCUACAGACAAGUUAGAGGUUUGUCUUACAGAGCCAAAGUACCUGCUGAGGCUAAAAACUACCGAUUUUAAUAGUUAAUCAGCAUAAUUAUUCACUGUUCUCCUAUGGGAUUUAUCUGCCUGGGAGCAGGAAGCAGAUCAGUGGAUUCAUCUAAAAUAGGAAUAAAGUGGCCAGGAAGAGCAAAACAAUAACAAGCCAAGAGAAUUGAUUUGGUAAAAGUGUUAUUAAAAUUAUUAACCUUGAGAUCCAGUCUGAUUAGGGAAAAACACAAAACAA